This is an RNA transcript of Gossypium arboreum, 1894 nucleotides long. It is a transcript of the gene named manganese-dependent ADP-ribose/CDP-alcohol diphosphatase-like, with no coding region annotated. Lineage: Eukaryota; Viridiplantae; Streptophyta; Magnoliopsida; Malvales; Malvaceae. The transcript is spliced from 3 exons. The record is from RefSeq and is a predicted model, not a curated record.
ACCAUAAUUGAUAAUUUAUUUCGAAAAAAGGGGAAAAAAAACCUUCACCCAUCAAACUCCAUCUCUUCAUCAACAACCAUUUUUCGUCAUAAUCUGCAACAAAAACAAAAACACACGUCUAUUGGCAUUGGAGUUUUCUUUUCUCCUCGUAUUUCAAACAAGCAAAAAAAACUAUUCGAUUAUCUUUUGAUUCAUCCUUGCCAAAUGAAUCAAUGAUUUGGUAACUCUGAUAGGAGUAAGGAGAGAAUCCCUCAUGGGGUCCGCAAAGGGAUUAACAAAUGGGCGAGGCGGGCAUCCUCUGUUUUCCUUUGGAGUUAUGACUGAUGUCCAGUAUGCUGAUAUCCCUAAUGGCCACUCGUUCCUCGGAGUUCCACGGUUUUAUCGACAUAGUAUGCUCGUCUUGCAAAGGGCAGUCAAGAGCUGGAACAACAACAAGAAUAUUAACUUCGCCAUUCAUUUCGGAGACAUUGUUGAUGGGAAAUGUCCCAAGGAUCAAUCUCUAAAUGCUGUCAAAAAAGUGGUUGGUGAGUUUGAAAAUUUUAAGGGUCCUGUUUAUCAUAUGAUUGGGAAUCAUUGUCUUUACAAUCUCCCAAGGGAUAAGUUACUUCCUUUAUUGAAGAUCCCGAAUCUUGAUGGCGGUCGUGCCUACUACGAGUUUUCACCGGCACCGGGAUACAGAUUUGUUGUAUUGGAUGGUUAUGAUAUCAGUGCAAUCGGAUGGCCUCAUGACCAUCCAAAAACAUUGGAGGCAUUGAAGUUCUUGAGAGAAAGAAACCCAAACUCCGAUAAAAACAGCCCAAACGGACUCGAGGGACUUGAUAGAAGGUUCCUUAUGUUUAAUGGAGCUGUUGGGGAAGAGCAAAUGGAAUGGCUAGAUAGUGUACUUCGAGAAGCAACAAAUAUGAAACAGAAAGUAGUUGUAUGUUGUCAUUUGCCUCUAGAUCCGGGUGCUUCGAGCCAAGAGCCACUUCUAUGGAAUUACGAUGAAGUAAUGGAUGUUAUUCAUCGAUAUGAUUGUGUGAAGAUUUGUCUAGCAGGACACGAUCAUGAAGGAGGACAUUCGCUUGAUUCUCACGGGAUUCAUCAUCGAGUGCUCGAAGCUGCCUUGGAAUGCCCGCCGGGUACUGAUGCAUUUGGAUAUAUAGAGGUUUAUGACAACAUGUUAUCACUCGUUGGAACAGAUCGAAUGAAAAGCACCAACAUUCAUUUCAAUCCUUAUUAAACGAGUUACAACCGAGGUAAUGGAUGUGAUUCAUCGAUACGAUUGUUUGAAAGUUUGUCUUGCAGGACAGGAUAUUUAUGAUGGAGGGCAUUCAAUCGAUCCUCACAGAAUUCAUCAUCGAGUGCUUGAAGCUGCCUUGGAAUACCCUCCAGAAGCCCAUCAAGGAAACGAUGGAGAAAACGCUGAAGCAAACGGAUGCGAUAUCGAGCGAGACAUGGCGUCCGCUGAUGGCCUGGAUUUCGAAGAGGUUGGUAGUCUUUUUGGCAUCAGUAUUUUGACCGUAAGCCACUUCGUGAUCAUUGGCGUCCAGUGCGUAGGCUCGGACGAAGUAUGUGGCAGUCGGCACGUCUCGCUCAAUGGUCCAUUCCAAAGUUUGGUUGCCGGUGGUGUAGGGCAUUUUAACGAUCUUGAAUUGGCAAGUUUUGUCUUUGGAAAGAUGCUCCUCGGUUUUCCUCCAGGCGCGGUCAACCUGGCUAAUGGGUGCGUAGCAUAACUGAACCUUGAUUGUCUUAUAGGCCGAGUCGGUCCCUGCUGGGAGACUCUGGUUCAGCCCCCAUCUCACUGUUAUUUUGUCUUCCCCAGCUCUAAGAACUGCACAAUUUAAUCAUCUUAACCAAAUGACUCGAGAUAUAAAAAAUAAAUAAAUGAUUAAAGUUUUAAAUUUUAAUUAAA